This is a long non-coding RNA of Mercenaria mercenaria, 354 nucleotides long. RefSeq lists it as uncharacterized. Lineage: Eukaryota; Metazoa; Mollusca; Bivalvia; Venerida; Veneridae. The record is from RefSeq and is a predicted model, not a curated record. The transcript has 2 exons.
AAUAAUACUCUAGUUCUAAAGGCUCAGUCACCUUGAGGCGUAUGUGAGACAAGUAUUUCAGAUCUGUUGUGUAGAGAAGUUGCAGGUGCUCCACAUUUACUGAUUGUCUAUCCGGCUGUAGUGGGGAAACUCCACUUCUUAACUGGACACCAAGUCAGAAACUGUAUGAUGUAAUGUCACUCUUUAAGUGGGUGGAUCUGGAGAAACGUGACACGUGGAACACAAUUGGAAUGUAUCAAAUCAGUCAAAACAGACAAAAUCCUGAGAUAUGAAAUUGUAUUCAACACAUAACCCUGGAGAUGCAACAGUGGGCAAAGAUUCUGAGAACUGCUGUAGAAAAUUGCCCUGAAGAAG